CGAGGGGAGUGAAAAAGAACCUGAAACCGUGUACGUACAAGCAGUGGGAGCACCCUUUGGGUGUGACUGCGUACCUUUUGUAUAAUGGGUCAGCGACUUAUAUUCUGUAGCAAGGUUAACCGAAUAGGGGAGCCGGAGGGAAACCGAGUCUUAACCGGGCGUUAAGUUGCAGGGUAUAGACCCGAAACCCGGUGAUCUAGCCAUGGGCAGGUUGAAGGUUGGGUAACACUAACUGGAGGACCGAACCGACUAAUGUUGAAAAAUUAGCGGAUGACCUGUGGCUGGGGGUGAAAGGCCAAUCAAACCGGGAGAUAGCUGGUUCUCCCCGAAAGCUAUUUAGGUAGCGCCUCGUGAAUUCAUCUCCGGGGGUAGAGCACUGUUUCGGCUAGGGGGCCAUCCCGGCUUACCAACCCGAUGCAAACUGCGAAUACCGGAGAAUGUUAUCACGGGAGACACACGGCGGGUGCUAACGUCCGUCGUGAAGAGGGAAACAACCCAGACCGCCAGCUAAGGUCCCAAAGUCAUGGUUAAGUGGGAAACGAUGUGGGAAGGCCCAGACAGCCAGGAUGUUGGCUUAGAAGCAGCCAUCAUUUAAAGAAAGCGUAAUAGCUCACUGGUCGAGUCGGCCUGCGCGGAAGAUGUAACGGGGCUAAACCAUGCACCGAAGCUGCGGCAGCGACACUGUGUGUUGUUGGGUAGGGGAGCGUUCUGUAAGCCUGCGAAGGUGGCCUGUGAGGGUUGCUGGAGGUAUCAGAAGUGCGAAUGCUGACAUAAGUAACGAUAAAGCGGGUGAAAAGCCCGCUCGCCGGAAGACCAAGGGUUCCUGUCCAACGUUAAUCGGGGCAGGGUGAGUCGACCCCUAAGGCGAGGCCGAAAGGCGUAGUCGAUGGGAAACGGGUUAAUAUUCCCGUACUUGGUGUUACUGCGAAGGGGGGACGGAGAAGGCUAUGUUGGCCGGGCGACGGUUGUCCCGGUUUAAGCGUGUAGGUGUGUGUUCCAGGUAAAUCCGGUUCACUUUAACACUGAGGCGUGACGACGAGGCACUACGGUGCUGAAGCAACAAAUGCCCUGCUUCCAGGAAAAGCCUCUAAGCAUCAGGUAACAUCAAAUCGUACCCCAAACCGACACAGGUGGUCAGGUAGAGAAUACCAAGGCGCUUGAGAGAACUCGGGUGAAGGAACUAGGCAAAAUGGUGCCGUAACUUCGGGAGAAGGCACGCUGACACGUAGGUGAAGUGAUUUACUCAUGGAGCUGAAGUCAGUCGAAGAUACCAGCUGGCUGCAACUGUUUAUUAAAAACACAGCACUGUGCAAACACGAAAGUGGACGUAUACGGUGUGACGCCUGCCCGGUGCCGGAAGGUUAAUUGAUGGGGUCAGCGCAAGCGAAGCUCCUGAUCGAAGCCCCGGUAAACGGCGGCCGUAACUAUAACGGUCCUAAGGUAGCGAAAUUCCUUGUCGGGUAAGUUCCGACCUGCACGAAUGGCGUAAUGAUGGCCAGGCUGUCUCCACCCGAGACUCAGUGAAAUUGAACUCGCUGUGAAGAUGCAGUGUACCCGCGGCAAGACGGAAAGACCCCGUGAACCUUUACUAUAGCUUGACACUGAACAUUGAGCCUUGAUGUGUAGGAUAGGUGGGAGGCUUUGAAGUGUGGACGCCAGUCUGCAUGGAGCCGACCUUGAAAUACCACCCUUUAAUGUUUGAUGUUCUAACGUGGACCCGUUACCCGGGUUGCGGACAGUGUCUGGUGGGUAGUUUGACUGGGGCGGUCUCCUCCUAAAGAGUAACGGAGGAGCACGAAGGUUGGCUAAUCCUGGUCGGACAUCAGGAGGUUAGUGCAAUGGCAUAAGCCAGCUUGACUGCGAGCGUGACGGCGCGAGCAGGUGCGAAAGCAGGUCAUAGUGAUCCGGUGGUUCUGAAUGGAAGGGCCAUCGCUCAACGGAUAAAAGGUACUCCGGGGAUAACAGGCUGAUACCGCCCAAGAGUUCAUAUCGACGGCGGUGUUUGGCACCUCGAUGUCGGCUCAUCACAUCCUGGGGCUGAAGUAGGUCCCAAGGGUAUGGCUGUUCGCCAUUUAAAGUGGUACGCGAGCUGGGUUUAGAACGUCGUGAGACAGUUCGGUCCCUAUCUGCCGUGGGCGCUGGAGAACUGAGGGGGGCUGCUCCUAGUACGAGAGGACCGGAGUGGACGCAUCACUGGUGUUCGGGUUGUCAUGCCAAUGGCACUGCCCGGUAGCUAAAUGCGGAAGAGAUAAGUGCUGAAAGCAUCUAAGCACGAAACUUGCCCCGAG
Molecule: ribosomal RNA, 2288 nt
Filed under: Salmonella enterica
Lineage: Bacteria; Pseudomonadati; Pseudomonadota; Gammaproteobacteria; Enterobacterales; Enterobacteriaceae
Description: partial 23S ribosomal RNA
Rfam family: Bacterial large subunit ribosomal RNA
Source: RNAcentral